This 492-nucleotide ribosomal RNA is filed under the name uncultured bacterium. RNAcentral describes it as "bacterial SSU rRNA". It matches the Rfam family "Bacterial small subunit ribosomal RNA", at positions 28 to 528 of the family's 1533-position model. The record is from RNAcentral.
GAUGAACGCUAGCGGCAGGCUUAAUACAUGCAAGUCGAACGAAGUGGUAACACUUAGUGGCGCACGGGUGCGUAACACGUAUGCAACCUACCUAUCGUUGGGGGAUAACUUUGAGAAAUCAGGGCUAAUACCGCAUAAAACAGCGUUACUGCAUGGUAAUGCUGUUAAAGUUACGGCGACGAUAGAUGGGCAUGCGUCCGAUUAGGUAGUUGGCGAGGUAACGGCUCACCAAGCCGACGAUCGGUAGGGGAUCUGAGAGGAUAAUCCCCCACACUGGCACUGAGAUACGGGCCAGACUCCUACGGGAGGCAGCAGUAGGGAAUAUUGGGCAAUGGUCGCAAGACUGACCCAGCCAUGCCGCGUGCAGGAAGAAGGCGCUCAGCGUUGUAAACUGCUUUUAUCAAGGAAGAAAAAGUUCUUGCGAGAACAAUUGACGGUACUUGAAGAAUAAGCCACGGCUAACUACGUGCCAGCAGCCGCGGUAAGGCACGA